GAUGAAGAACGUAGCGAAAUGCGAUAAAUAAUGUGAAUUGCAGAAUUCAGUGAAUCAUCGAGUCUUUGAACGCACAUUGCGCCCCCUGGUAUUCCGGGGGGCAUGCCUGUCCGAGCGUCAUUGCUGCCCUCAAGCACGGCUUGUGUGUUGGGCCCCCGUCCCCCCCUCCCGGGGGACGGGCCCGAAAGGCAGCGGCGGCACCGCGUCCGGUCCUCGAGCGUAUGGGGCUUUGUCACCCGCUCUGUAGGCCCGGCCGGCGCCUGCCGACCACCAUCAAUCUUUUUUCAGGUUGACCUCGGAUCAGGUAGGGAUACCCGCUGAACUUAAGCAUAUCAAUGAGCGGAGGA
This 347-nucleotide unclassified non-coding RNA is filed under the name soil metagenome. RNAcentral describes it as "partial contains 5.8S ribosomal RNA, internal transcribed spacer 2, and large subunit ribosomal RNA". The stretch from base 1 to 120 matches the Rfam family "5.8S ribosomal RNA", at positions 35 to 154 of the family's 154-position model. The record is from RNAcentral.